GUCCGCGCGGUAAACGAUGGAUGCCCGCCGUUGGGUUUAGAAUUCAGCGGCCAAGCGAAAGCGUUAAGCAUCCCACCUGGGGAGUACGCCGGCAACGGUGAAACUCAAAGGAAUUGACGGGGCCCGCACAAGCGGAGGAACAUGUGGUUUAAUUCGAUGAUACGCGAGGAACCUUACCCGGGCUUGAAUUGCAGGAGAACGAUCCAGAGAUGGUGAGGCCCUUCGGGGCUCCUGUGAAGGUGCUGCAUGGUUGUCGU
Molecule: ribosomal RNA, 257 nt
Filed under: uncultured bacterium
Lineage: Bacteria
Description: partial 16S ribosomal RNA
Rfam family: Bacterial small subunit ribosomal RNA
Source: RNAcentral